Molecule: ribosomal RNA, 253 nt
Filed under: uncultured bacterium
Lineage: Bacteria
Description: partial 16S ribosomal RNA
Rfam family: Bacterial small subunit ribosomal RNA
Source: RNAcentral
UACGUAGGGUGCAAGCGUUGUCCGGAAUUAUUGGGCGUAAAGAGCUCGUAGGCGGUCUGUCACGUCGGCUGUGAAAUCCCGAGGCUCAACCUCGGGUCUGCAGUCGAUACGGGCAAACUAGAGUAUUGCAGGGGAGACUGGAAUUCCUGGUGUAGCGGUGAAAUGCGCAGAUAUCAGGAGGAACACCGGUGGCGAAGGCGGGUCUCUGGGCCGAUACUGACACUGAGGAGCGAAAGCGUGGGGAGCGAACAGG